AGUGAACGCUGGCGGCGUGCCUAAUACAUGCAAGUCGAACGAAGUCGCGCCCGGGUGAGUAAUAUGUAGUUCAUCUGCCCUACACAGAGGAACACCAGUUGGACACGACUGCUAAUACCUCAUAGUGUAGGAUGAGACUAUAUCGUAUCAGCUAGUUGGUAAGGUAAUGGCGUACCAAUGCUAUGACGCGUAACUGGUCUGAGAGGAUGAUCAGUCACAUUGGAAGUGAGACACGGGCCAAACUCCUACGGGAAGCAGCAGUAAGGUAUAUGGCGCAAGGGGGGAAACCCUGACGCAGCAACGCCGCGUGGAGGAUUACACUUUUCGGAGCGUAAACGCCUUUUAUCAGGAAAGCGGUACCUGAUGAAUAAGCACCGGCUAACUCCGUGCCAGCAGCCGCGGUAAUAC
This 408-nucleotide ribosomal RNA is filed under the name uncultured bacterium. RNAcentral's name for it is "partial 16S ribosomal RNA". It matches the Rfam family "Bacterial small subunit ribosomal RNA", at positions 29 to 526 of the family's 1533-position model. The record is from RNAcentral.